CUUGACUGUAUCUCGGAAUUGGGUUCGGGCUUUUCUUGCGCAGCCUAGGUGGGAGGCUAUGAAGAUUUCCUUCCGGGGAAGUUGGAGCCAACAGUGAGAGACCACUCUGGAGAGGCUAGAAUCCUAAUGGUGAUCCUUGAAUCAGGACACUUGACAGUUUCAGGUGGGCAGUUUUUCUGGGGCGGAAGCCUCAUAAAAGGUAACUGAGGCGCGCAAAGGUCCCCUCAGUCUGGACGGAAAUCAGACAUUGAGUGUAAAGGCGAAAGGGGGCUUGACUGCAAGACCUACAAGUCGAGCAGGAGCGAAAGCUGGCCUUAGUGAUCCGACGGUGCCGUGUGGAAGGGCCGUCGCUCAACGAAUAAAAGUUA
Molecule: ribosomal RNA, 368 nt
Filed under: uncultured organism
Description: bacterial LSU rRNA
Rfam family: Bacterial large subunit ribosomal RNA
Source: RNAcentral